Molecule: ribosomal RNA, 1434 nt
Filed under: Staphylococcus sp.
Lineage: Bacteria; Bacillati; Bacillota; Bacilli; Caryophanales; Staphylococcaceae
Description: bacterial SSU rRNA
Rfam family: Bacterial small subunit ribosomal RNA
Source: RNAcentral
UAAUACAUGCAAGUCGAGCGAACAGAUAAGGAGCUUGCUCCUUUGACGUUAGCGGCGGACGGGUGAGUAACACGUGGGUAACCUACCUAUAAGACUGGGAUAACUUCGGGAAACCGGAGCUAAUACCGGAUAACAUUUGGAACCGCAUGGUUCUAAAGUGAAAGAUGGUUUUGCUAUCACUUAUAGAUGGACCCGCGCCGUAUUAGCUAGUUGGUAAGGUAACGGCUUACCAAGGCGACGAUACGUAGCCGACCUGAGAGGGUGAUCGGCCACACUGGAACUGAGACACGGUCCAGACUCCUACGGGAGGCAGCAGUAGGGAAUCUUCCGCAAUGGGCGAAAGCCUGACGGAGCAACGCCGCGUGAGUGAUGAAGGGUUUCGGCUCGUAAAACUCUGUUAUUAGGGAAGAACAAACGUGUAAGUAACUGUGCACGUCUUGACGGUACCUAAUCAGAAAGCCACGGCUAACUACGUGCCAGCAGCCGCGGUAAUACGUAGGUGGCAAGCGUUAUCCGGAAUUAUUGGGCGUAAAGCGCGCGUAGGCGGUUUCUUAAGUCUGAUGUGAAAGCCCACGGCUCAACCGUGGAGGGUCAUUGGAAACUGGGAAACUUGAGUGCAGAAGAGGAAAGUGGAAUUCCAUGUGUAGCGGUGAAAUGCGCAGAGAUAUGGAGGAACACCAGUGGCGAAGGCGACUUUCUGGUCUGUAACUGACGCUGAUGUGCGAAAGCGUGGGGAUCAAACAGGGAUUAGAUACCCUGGUAGUCCACGGCCGUAGACGAUGAGUGCUAAGUGUUAGGGGGUUUCCGCCCCUUAGUGCUGCAGCUAACGCAUUAAGCACUCCGCCUGGGGAGUACGACCGCAAGGUUGAAACUCAAAGGAAUUGACGGGGACCCGCACAAGCGGUGGAGCAUGUGGUUUAAUUCGAAGCAACGCGAAGAACCUUACCAAAUCUUGACAUCCUUUGAAAACUCUAGAGAUAGAGCCUUCCCCUUCGGGGGACAAAGUGACAGGUGGUGCAUGGUUGUCGUCAGCUCGUGUCGUGAGAUGUUGGGUUAAGUCCCGCAACGAGCGCAACCCUUAAGCUUAGUUGCCAUCAUUAAGUUGGGCACUCUAGGUUGACUGCCGGUGACAAACCGGAGGAAGGUGGGGAUGACGUCAAAUCAUCAUGCCCCUUAUGAUUUGGGCUACACACGUGCUACAAUGGACAAUACAAAGGGCAGCUAAACCGCGAGGUCAUGCAAAUCCCAUAAAGUUGUUCUCAGUUCGGAUUGUAGUCUGCAACUCGACUACAUGAAGCUGGAAUCGCUAGUAAUCGUAGAUCAGCAUGCUACGGUGAAUACGUUCCCGGGUCUUGUACACACCGCCCGUCACACCACGAGAGUUUGUAACACCCGAAGCCGGUGGAGUAACCAUUUAUGGAGCUAGCCGUCGAA